RNAcentral lists this ribosomal RNA (651 nucleotides) under Diptera sp. MQ127. RNAcentral's name for it is "SSU rRNA". It matches the Rfam family "Eukaryotic small subunit ribosomal RNA", at positions 52 to 697 of the family's 1831-position model. Lineage: Eukaryota; Metazoa; Arthropoda; Insecta; Diptera. The record is from RNAcentral.
UGCAUGUCUAAGUACACACGAAUUAAAAGUGAAACCGCAAAAGGCUCAUUAUAUCAGUUAUGGUUCCUUAGAUCGUUAACAGUUACUUGGAUAACUGUGGUAAUUCUAGAGCUAAUACAUGCAUUAUAAACACGGACCUUUGGGACGUGUGCUUUUAUUAGGCUAAAACCAAGCGAUCGCAAGAUCGUUAUUAUGGUUGAACUCUAGAUAACUUGCAGAUCGUAUGGUCUUGUACCGACGACAGAUCUUUCAAAUGUCUGCCCUAUCAACUUUUGAUGGUAGUAUCUAGGACUACCAUGGUUGCAACGGGUAACGGGGAAUCAGGGUUCGAUUCCGGAGAGGGAGCCUGAGAAACGGCUACCACAUCUAAGGAAGGCAGCAGGCGCGUAAAUUACCCACUCCCAGCCCGGGGAGGUAGUGACGAAAAAUAACAAUACAGGACUCAUUAUAGAGGCCCUGUAAUUGGAAUGAGUACACUUUAAAUCCUUUAACAAGGACCUAUUGGAGGGCAAGUCUGGUGCCAGCAGCCGCGGUAACUCCAGCUCCAAUAGCGUAUAUUAAAGUUGUUGCGGUUAAAACGUUCGUAGUUGAACUUGUGCUUCAUACGGGUAGUAUAACUAUAAUUGUAGUCUGUACUAUACCUUAUGUAUG